CUGAGAUGCACUGCGGCCCGACCUCACUCCUCAAGCCUGCAUCCCAUGACUCUGCCCAACAUUUUACUCUUUGAAAAUGCCCUAGGCAUAGCCUGGCUCAGGAUUCCUGUCCCUAAGCACAGAAGUCCAAACUGAUGCUCCCUGCAGGUCUGUGCAGCUGGAAGGAAGGGGAUCAGCAGAGGCCUGGGGGGCAGCUACCUUCCACCACAAUGGAAGAGGAUUCUCCACUGCUGUACUAGGUCCUUUCUGAUUUGACAAGAUCCAGCUGCUAAACUCGGAAAAGGAAGACUGCUGUCUCUGCAUGGAGGGAGCACAGGAACUGACAUGGAUGCUAGGGCUGGGAUCUGGCCCGUUCUGCCUUGUACUUGAAGUAUGACCUUGACCAGUCCAUUUUCCUCUCUGUGCCAGUCCAGCACUUCAUCUCCACAAGAAGGGGAUAAGACUGGUCAAGCUCCUUGAUCUCUUCCAGCUCUGACAGUUCAACUCAAUUCUUCCUAUAAUAUCCAUGAUGUUCUAUGACCUUCCAUGACAUUCUAUACAUCUCCAAAAAUCAUCAAUUUGAAUGGCAGACCUCCUGUUCUAGUCCCUGUUCUAUUCUAUGUAAAUGGCAGAGAGAAAAGAGCUGCCACAAGCUGGCUCAUUGUAGGACUUUGUUGGGCAAGUACAUUUUCCUUCCUUGCCUCAGUUUCCCCCAUUUGAUUGGCUGGGCUAUACUAUUUCCCUGGAGCUGUGGUUUCUUGCUUUGCAAAGUCCUGCUUCUCAACUGUUGCACCUGAUUUGGACGUGUCUUUUUUCCAGAGCCUCCUCUGUAGGCUUCCUCACUGCCUCGUGCCUCUGGUUGCUUCCCACCUAUUGACAUUCCUCCCAGAACCCUGAUUUACUGAAGUAGACCCAACAUUACAACUUGGGGAAGACAGUUUCCAAAUCAGGAGCCCAGGGAAACACGGGUGCUGGACAGUGCCAGGAAGAGAGCAGGUGGGCAAGCAGUCGAGUGGCGGGCCUGAAAUAACCCUGAGGUGAGGGGCGCUGGUGCACGCCCUUGUGACAGGAGCUAGUCCUCUGUGUUCUCUGCUCAGCUGCCAAAUAGUCAGUCACACCAGUCAGCUUUGGGACUAACAGAUAAUGAACAUUGGGUUGGGCCCAGAAGCAAUAGGGCUUCAGGGGAAAUAAAAUGGACUUUGCCAUGCUGA
Molecule: long non-coding RNA, 1190 nt
Organism: Artibeus jamaicensis (Jamaican fruit-eating bat)
Lineage: Eukaryota; Metazoa; Chordata; Mammalia; Chiroptera; Phyllostomidae
Exons: 3
Source: RefSeq, a predicted model, not a curated record